CUUAGCUCUACGAAGGUGACCUGCGGAGGGAUCAUU
RNAcentral lists this ribosomal RNA (36 nucleotides) under Schizothyrium wisconsinense. RNAcentral describes it as "partial 18S ribosomal RNA". The record is from RNAcentral. Lineage: Eukaryota; Fungi; Ascomycota; Dothideomycetes; Mycosphaerellales; Schizothyriaceae.